ACUGAAUAGAUACCCGGGUAGUCCUGGCCCUAAACGAUGAAUGCUUGGUGUGGCGGGUAUCGAUCCCUGCCGUGCCGAAAGCUAACGCAUUAAGCAUUCCGCCUGGGGAGUACGGUCGCAAGGCUGAAACUCAAAGGAAAUGACGGGGGCCCGCACAAGCGGUGGAGCAUGUGGUUUAAUUCGACGCAACGCGAAGAACCUUACCCAGGCUUGAACUGCAGAUGACACCCUACGAAAGUAGGCUUCCGCAAGGACAUCUGUAGAGGUGCUGCAUGGCUGUCGUCAGCUCGUGUCGUGAGAUGUUGGGUUAAGUCCCGCAACGAGCGCAACCCUUGUCUUCUGUUGCCAUCGGGUUAUGCCGGGCACUCUGAAGAGACUGCCGGUGACAAACCGGAGGAAGGUGGGGAUGACGUCAAGUCAGCAUGGCCUUUAUGUCUGGGGCCACACACGUGCUACAAUGGCAGGUACAAACCGUCGCGAGACCGCAAGGUGGAGCUAAUCGGAUAAAGCCUGUCUCAGUUC
This 522-nucleotide ribosomal RNA is filed under the name uncultured bacterium. Its description in RNAcentral is "bacterial SSU rRNA". It matches the Rfam family "Bacterial small subunit ribosomal RNA", at positions 772 to 1294 of the family's 1533-position model. The record is from RNAcentral.